GGAGUUUUCGGCAAUGGGGGAAACCCUGACCGAGCAACGCCGCGUGAACGAUGAAGGUCUUCGGAUUGUAAAGUUCUGUUAUAAGGGAAGAAUGAUAGCUUGAGGAAAUGCUAGUUAUUUGACGGUACCUUAUUAGAAAGCCACGGCUAACUACGUGCCAGCAGCCGCGGUAAUACGUAGGUGGCGAGCGUUAUCCGGAAUUAUUGGGCGUAAAGAGUGAGCAGGCGGCAUGAUAAGUUUGAAGUGAAAGCGUGGGGCUUAACCCCAUACAGCUCCAAAAACUGUCAAGCUAGAGUGCGAGAGAGGUAAACGGAACUCCAUGUGUAGCGGUGAAAUGCGUAGAUAUAUGGAAGAACACCAGUGGCGAAGGCGGUUUACUAGCUCGAUACUGACGCUCAGUCACGAAAGCGUGGGGAGCAAAUA
Molecule: ribosomal RNA, 423 nt
Filed under: uncultured bacterium
Lineage: Bacteria
Description: bacterial SSU rRNA
Rfam family: Bacterial small subunit ribosomal RNA
Source: RNAcentral